CACGUAGGGCGCAAGCGUUGUCCGGAAUUAUUGGGCGUAAAGAGCUCGUAGGUGGUUUGUUACGUCUGCUGUGAAAACCUAGGGCUUAACCCUGGGCUUGCAGUGGAUACGGGCAGACUAGAGGUAGGUAGGGGAGAAUGGAAUUCCUGGUGUAGCGGUGAAAUGCGCAGAUAUCAGGAGGAACACCGGUGGCGAAGGCGGUUCUCUGGGUGCCACCUGACACUGCUAGGACGAAAGCGUGGGGAGCGAAUGGG
Molecule: ribosomal RNA, 254 nt
Filed under: uncultured bacterium
Lineage: Bacteria
Description: partial 16S ribosomal RNA
Rfam family: Bacterial small subunit ribosomal RNA
Source: RNAcentral